UGAGUAACACGUAUGCAACCUGCCUGCCACAGCCGGAUAAUCGGGAGAAAUUCCGUCUAAUACGGCAUAAUGCAUCGACGGGACAUCCUGUUGGUGCCAAAGGUUAAUUCCGGUGGCGGAUGGGCAUGCGUCGCAUUAGUUAGUUGGCGGUGUAACGGACCACCAAGACGACGAUGCGUAGGGGUUCUGAGAGGAAGGUCCCCCACACUGGUACUGAGACACGGGCCAGACUCCUACGGAAGGCAGCAG
RNAcentral lists this ribosomal RNA (249 nucleotides) under uncultured bacterium. RNAcentral describes it as "partial 16S ribosomal RNA". It matches the Rfam family "Bacterial small subunit ribosomal RNA", at positions 107 to 354 of the family's 1533-position model. The record is from RNAcentral.